GGUUGGUGGUUCGGCCAGCUUUUCCAAUACCAUGGCUUUUGGAUAUCAGGUUUUUGUAUAAGAGGAAGCAUGUUGAACCAUGACCACUUCAAGCCUCGAUCCACAGACAUCGUCGUCGCAACAUCCCCUAAAUGUGGCACCACCUGGCUCAGAGCCCUCGUUUUCUCCAUUAUCAACAGAGCUUCCUUUGAUUUCAGCGACCAUCCUUUGCGCAAAGCAAACCCACAAGACUUAGUCCCAUUCUUCGAAAAAAUUAUUCAUAAAGAUGGGUCAACUUCCUUCGUCGAUGGGAUUCCUUCACCUCGCCUUCUUUCAACUCACCUUCCUUACUCUUUGUUCCCAACACGCAUGACCGAUGAUACCUCGGCUUGCCGUUUCGUAUACAUCUCCCGGGACCCCAAAGACGUUUUCGUUUCAAAGUGGCAUUUCGCGAGCAAGUUGAGACCCAAAGAACUGCCACCACUUUCACUAGAGGAAACCUUUGACUUGUUUUGCAAAGGGGUUUCUCACUAUGGACCGUUUUGGGAUCACGUAUUGGGGUACUGGAAAGCUAGUGUGGAGUCACCGAAGAAGGUGUUGUUCUUGAAGUAUGAAGAUGUAAAGAAGGAGCCUUUGGGUUGUGUGAGGAAAGUUGCAGAGUUCUUAGGAGUACCCUUUACACCAGAGGAAGAAAACAAAGAGAUUGUGGAACAAAUAGUGAAGCUGUGCAGUUUUGAGAGCAUGAGCAAUCAAGAUGUUAACAAACUUGACAAAAGAUAUCAGCAACGUCCUGUUAGCAACUCUGAUUUCUUCAGGAAAGGUGAAGUUGGAGACUGGGUUAACCAUUUGUCACCUCAAAUGGCUGAGAAAUUGGAUCAGAUUACUGAAGAAAAACUUCAAGAUACUGGAUUCAACUUUCAUUGACUCCAAAGUAUCUCACUGAAUUUGAUUCAUAUUUGAAUGAAGAUUUUCUUUUUAAUUACGUGAUUUGCGUAUUAUGUGUCUUUUUCUAUGUAAUCUUUUUUGUAUCUUCAAAAAUAAUAUAAUACAUCAAGAAUAUCAAAUUAUACAUUAUUAUUUUAACUCUAAAAUUAAUAUAUUUUUAUAAAAUUCUAGAACCCUACGUUUUAAAAUUCUAGACUUUAAAACUUAAAUCCUAGACCUCUUUUUAGACACUAGACCUUAAUUUAACACUUCCUCUAAAAUUAUAAAUCUUAAAAUUUUAAAUUCUAACUGACCAUACCAUAAAUCAUAAAUCUAGUUUAAAAAACCAUACACCUUAUGCUACUAUUACUAUUUGUUACUUUUAUUUAAUUUUUCGAACUAGAAUAGAUUAGAACAACAUUAAACUAAAAAUCGAAAUGUAUCCGAAGUUAAAUUAGAAUAAACUAAAAAUACAGUCAAAUCAAUACAAAACACCAAUAAACUAAAAAUUAGAAUAAUCUAAAUUUAAAUCAAAAUAAUUAUUCAAGUUAUAUUUUGCAUUAUAUUAGAAUUGGUGUUGAAAUUGUAAAAAGGAAAAUGAUUAAUAUGGUAUUCAUGAUUCUUGUUUUCAGAAUACGAUAUUGAUAUGAGGACAACUUAAUUACUUGAUGUUUGAAUGAGCUGGCGGCAAUUAGCUUUUAUUCUAUGUUGAGAUACCUACCGCCAUUAAACAAAUCAAUAUUUAAUUUAAAACUACCACAUCAUAUGGCAUACAGAAAUUAAAAAUUGCCUGUUACUGUUACUUGAGUAAAAUAAAAAUCGAUCAUUUGCAAAUCCUUUUUCCAUAAUUUCCCUUCCCCAUGGAGAAUUCAAACUUUUUCGCCAUUGAGAAAGAAUUAAAGCUCGAUGAAGGGUACCAAAAGACAUACAAAAACGUCGAUGAACUGCUGCCCACUCUCCCUCGAAGUAAAGGCUGGUGGUUAGACCAGCUUCUUCAAUACCAAGGGUUCUGGUUAUCAACUUACGGCAUUCCAGGAAGUAUGUUGAUCGAUGACCACUUCAACCCUCGUCCCACUGACAUCAUCAUCGCAACAUCACCUAAAUGCGGCACCACGUGGCUUCGGGCCCUCGUUUUCUCUAUUAUCAACAGGAAUUCUUUUGAUUUCAGCGACCAUCCUUUGCGCAAGGCAAACCCUCGAGACUUGGUCCACUUUCUCGAAGCACAUAUUCGUGGAGAUGGGUCCACUUUAUCAACGCAGCAUAAAUUGUUAAAUCUAUAUCUAUAUAAUCUAAUAUAUAUAUAAAGAAGAGUUUGGAAAAUGUAAAUAUCUUUUAUUUAUAUUACUAAAUUUAUAUUUAAAAAUAAAAAAAAAAUUAAAGUAAAAAUAAAUUUGUGAUAAUUAUACAUUUAAAGUAAAAAUUAUGUUAAUUUUAAAAUGAAGUUAUUACUUGAACUCAAAAUGAUGGUUCUCGAAGCCACCAAAAAUAAUUUUUCUAUGCCUAAACAAUAUAUAAAUGGUAUCAACCAAAUUGUGCAUCUAGGCAGCUAUCAUGUCUAAGAUGUGUGCAAACAUAAAAAAAGAAUAUUUAAAUAUGAUAAAAUAAUUGAAAUCGAAAUAACAAUAAAAAUAGACAGAAAUGGAAUUUAAAUAAAUAAACUGAUAUGAUGAAACUCCAACUUCAGGCUCGAUGUUGUUCUGAUUUCGAACCGGUCAUUAAUAACAAAUAUUCUCCUUCAACCGAUAAAUUAAUUAUAAUAAUUGAAGACAUCUCAAAUCACUAACACUUUUAUGUAUAAAUCAAUUGUGAAAAUUCUCAACAAUUAAUAUUUACAUGUCUCCACAAUUUAACUCUCCAAUAAGGGUUUUUUACAAAAAUAUUAUAAAAAAAUAAAAAUUUACCAAAAUAUAAUCCUUUUUUUAUUUACUAAAAUAUUAUAAAAAAAUUUUAUUUACCAAAAUAUACUAAAAAAAACACAAAAAAAACUGACACAGCCUGAUCACGCCAAUGUCAUUGGUGGCACCAAUGGUGCCAAUGCCAUUGGCGGCACCAAUGUGCCAAAGGACUAAAAUGUGACCACUUGUAGUUUCAAGGACCUGACAUGCAAAUUUACCAUUUUAAAUUUUGAAAGUGAAUUGCUGUUGUUGUGCGCACUAAAAGUGAAAUGUGGCUAAUUGCCUUCUAAGCCCUCCUUACUUAUUAUUUACUUUUUAUUCCCUUCAACUCACUUUUUUAUUUAAUAAGCAAGCCCUCAACCUAUUUUUGUAGUUAAAUAAGCUCUUAAUCUAUGAUUUUUACUCAUAAAAGUAAUUUAUUUUAUUAUUAAAGUAAAUAUGUUUUACCUAAAGUAAAGCUAUUUAAAAAAGUAUAAACUAAUUCGCAUUUUAUGUAUUAUUUUCGUAAUUUGAUGAGAAUAGUUUAUUUAAAAAAUUUACUAAAUUUGAUGAGAAUAGUUUAUAAUUAUACUUUAUUUUUUCUAUUUGGGUUACAUUUAUAGGUGAUCAGUUUUAUUAUUACUUAUAGUUAAGUGAUAAUUAAGAUACUUAGAAUUCUAAUUAAGUAAUAACUCUAUUUUAAUUUAAUAAACUAUUCUCAUUUAAUAACUAUAUUUUAAAUUAAUAGAAAUAUCAGACAUGCCUUAUUGAAAAACCAGAAGUAAUAAUAAAACUGAUCACCUAUAAAUGUAACCCAAAUAGAAAAAAUAAAGUAUAAUUAUAAACUAUUCUCAUCAAAUUUAGUAAAAUUUUUAAAUAAACUAUUCUCAUCAAAUUACGAAAAUAGGUUAAGGGCUUGUUUAUUAAAUAAAAAAGUGAGUUGAAGGGAAUAAAAAGUAAAUAAUAAAUAAGGAAGGCUUAGAAGGCAAUUAGCCACAUUUCAAUUUUAAUGCGCACGUAAUUCACUUUCAAAAUUUAAAAUGAUAAAUUUGCAUAUCAGGUCCUUGAAACUACAAGUGGUCACAUUUUAGUAAUUCACUUUCAAAAUUUAAAAUGAUAAAUUUGCAUAUCAGGUCCUUGAAACUACAAGUGGUCACAUUUUAGUCCUUUGGCACAUUGGUGCCGCCAAUGGCAUUGGCACCAUUGGUGCCACCAAUGGCAUUGGGGUGCCGCCAAUGGCAUUGGCGUGAUCAGGCUGUGUCAGUUUUUUUUUUGUGUUUUUUUUAUUUUUUUAGUAUAUUUUGAUAAAUAAAUUUUUUUAUAAUAUUUUAGUAAAUAAAAAAAAGAUUAUAUUUUAAUAAAUUUUUAUUUUUUUAUAAUAUUUUUGUAAAAAACCCCUCCAGUAACGUAAAGUAAAAAGGUCCCAACGCAAACCAACCUUCAAAGCCUAACCGGCUUUGGAAUUAUUUAUAGGCAAUAAUGUUAUCUUAUUUCUGGAAGUUCAAAUUUAAUAUCUUAACCGAUUCAUAGCUUGUGCUUCAGCCUUAUUCCAGCAAUGAUUAAUUAAUCAUUUUUAAGCAAUAUAUUAUUAACCAUGUUUAACAUUUAUAACAAUGGAAUACAUGAUUCGGUUUGGAAUUAGUUUUUCUAUUUCCAGCUUAAUUUUCAAAAAUAAAUAUAUAAAUUUUAAUAUAUAAAUAAAUAUAAAUUAUAUAUUUUUUAUAAUUAAAUUUGAUAAAAAUAUUUAUAUUAUUUCUAAUAAUAAAACAGAUUAUUUUGGCAUAACGGUUUCAAGCUUAAUUUUUUUAAACAUUAAUUUUAUUAUAAGUUUUAUCAUAUAUGUUCUUUCCCAAUCCUUUAAGUAGGAGGAUAAUACGUUUCAGUGUACUGAAACCCACAUCAUCUUACAUUAACAAUAAUAUCGAUACCAAUAAAAUUAAAACUCAAUCGACCACUUAAUUUUUUUUAAAUCGAAUUUAAGCUUCUUCUUAUCCAUCAACGCUUCCAAUGCAUAUUGAAAAUCAAGCUUACAUUUAGUGAAAUGCGACAAUUUAUUUUGUAUGGUCAAAAUAUUGUGUAUAUUAAAUUAUAGCAUAUUCAAGAUGUAAGUGAAAAAUAAAAUUAUAUGAUAAAUAUAUUUAUAAAAAAUUUAUAUAAAUAAAAAGGUGAAAACCUAAAGUAGCAUGAAUUUAAAUUUUAUUAUGUAUUUAUUUUCUAACUUUUAUAUAAAAGGUAUAACAUGAUACAAAUACUCUCAAAAUAAUAUAAUUUAUUUUGUAAAAUGAGGAUAUUUUUAGUUUUUUUUUCCAACUGAGUUGGUAUUCAAUUAAUUCAUAAACACAAACUCUAUUAGGAACUUGACUAUCAACCAUCUAAAAUAGUAACAAAAUUGAGUCUGCCUUGUGGCACGAAUUAGGGUUUUUUGUUUGCCUUGUUGCACAAGUUUACGUAUUGAGUUUAUUUUGUUAGGGUUCGUGGUGUGCAGAAAGGUUAGAUCUCAUAUUCAAGUGUGUGUUAUGGCUAAUCUUAAUAUGGUGGGGGCAGAUCUAGCAAAUCUCAAUAUUAUGGAUGAGGAGAAAGAUCCGUUGGUGGUGGUAGGGGAUGAUAUGUCUGCUGAUCCAGAAUAUGGAUUAUGUCUGGUAGGGUGAGUUCUCACAGAUAGUAUUGUGAACUUCCCAUCUCUAAAAAAUACGCUGGCAAAUUUGUGGCACCCGCUAAGAGGAGUAUCUAUUAUGGAAAUUAAAGAUAAGCAUAUUUUAUUUCGGUUCUAUAGUAAAAUUGAUUUAAAACGGGUUAUGGAUGGCAUGCCAUGGUUUUUCAAUCGACAUCUGAUAGUAUUUCAUAGGCUAAUAAGGGGUGAGGAUCCAUCAAUAGAUUCGUUAUGGACUACAACUUUCUAGGUGCAAAUCCACAAUUUACCAGCUGAAUUUAUAACAGAAAGGAUGGAGCAACAAUUAAGGGAUUUUUAUUGGAAAAUUUAUGGAGUAUGACGCAUCGAUGGUCAAAAGGGAUUAGUAAAUAUAUACAGAUUCGAGUUACAAUGGAUACAGGAUCCUACUUAAAGGAAGAAACGGAUUGGUAUUGGGCAAAAUAAAUUCAUCUAUGCAUUGUUUCAAUAUGAAAAAUUGUCGUUAUUUUGUUUUUUAUGUUGUCGUCUUGGUCAUGGAGAGAGUUUCUGCCUAGUACGAUUAACAUUAAGGGAUCAACAAGUGGAUUUUGGCUAGGACCUAUCUUUAAGGGCUACGCCAAGAAGGGAAGGGAUUGAUGAACAAAUGGUUGCGGGAGGAAUCUGAGAAUGAAAGGUAGGCAAAUAUGGAUAUCGAUAGGGAGAAUACGGUAAAAACAUAAAUGAGGCACGGGUUUGGUGGGGCGGUUUAUGCGAUAUACAAGAAAGCCUAUGGAUUUGAGGAUUGAAUAUAAUAUGGGACAAAUUGAGGGAAGGAGAGAUGAAGUAGAGUUAAAAGAUAUGCCUGUAGAAUUUGUGGAUUGGAAGAAAAGGAAAAGAUUUAAUCUUGAAGUAGGUGGUCCUGAUAACAGGAGGGGCUUGCUGGAGGGAGGAUUGGAAAAUGUAAUAUCGGCUGCCACUACCGAGCAGGCUGACCGAGCACAAUAAAAAUAUUCAGUUGGAAUGUUCAUGGCUUGGGGCAGCCACGAGCAGUCUAUCGUCUCAAAAAUAAGUUGAGACACAUUCAACCCCAUAUUUUGUUUCUUAUGGAAACAAAGGUUGCUAGUAAACGUAUGGAGAAAAUAAGGAGGAAGUGUGGAUUUGAACAUGGAAUUAACGUUGAAGCAGAAGGAACAAGAGGGGGGAUUAUCGUUGGGAUGAAGAGAAGGAAUGAAUUUAACUUUAAAAAACUUUUCAAAAUCUCAUAUUGGUGUGAAGGUGGAUGAAGGGAAUGAAAAUAGUGUAUGGAGUUUCACAGGUUUCUAUGGAGCGCCUGUGGAGAAUGAUCGAAAAUUUCGAACAAAAUUUUCACGAAAUCUUUCCAUGAAAUUGUAGACCAUAAAAAUAUAAUAAAAAUAAUUUUUUUCCUCAUUGGAUUUAUGGUCUCGAAACCACCGUUCUGACUAGGCCCAAAAUUGGGCUAUUACAUGACCCUAUCACAGCCCGUGUCGUCACCCGUGUAACUUACUGAGUAGGGUCACACAGCCGUGUGGCAGACCAUGUGCCAGACCGUGUAACUCUCUGAGUUGUCACACACGCCCAUGUGCUAGGCCUUGUAACUCACUAAAUUGAAACAAUAGAAUUUUACAAAUGACACAUGGCCGUGUCGCCAGGUCGUGUGUGUCGUAGGAUAGUGUGACAACUCGUGUCCCAGGCCGUGUGAUCCCAAAAAUUUACCUAAAAUCAAGUCAUGUCAAUUCUAAUUCAUACCUAAUAAUUCAAACCAUUUGGACAUAUAUUCAAGGGAUUCAAACAUAUUUAAACAUACAUAAUCAUGCAAUUCCAAACAGCUUAAAUCACCUAACCAAUAUGUCAUUCAAAGGCACCACAAUUGUAUCAAAACAUCACUUACCAAACACAAGUCAAUAUUGCAUAUUCCUAAGCAUAAUAACUUAGUUCAACUAACUAUCAUACAUGAACAUUUGCAAGCCAUCAAAACAUACCCCAAAGAUCCUUAUUUACAAGCACAUAAAAGUGACCAAAAUAACAUAACUUGGUGAGGUGUUAAGAUUCACCAAACCAAAUAUAAACUUCAAAACUGUGAAAUGGGCCUGCUCACAUGAGCUGUGGGUCGGAAUGUUAGCUACACAAUGUUGCUCACACGAGUUGUGAAAAAUCCGCAAUAAAUGUUGGAUCUUAGCCAUCAGUAGGACAUUCAAGACCAGCACCUGAAACAUGAAAUCCCUAAUGACAUGUCAUUCGUAUCCUAAGAAUUCUUAAGGUUCAACUAGGACUCGUUAUCCGUCGGUUCAACAUAGCAUGGAUACAUUUAUAUAGAGAGUCAUUUAUAUUAAAACAACAUGGCAAAUAAUCAAUUUAACUAACAUUAAAAUGAUCAUAAUUCUUACGAACUUACCUCGAUAACUAGGGUGUAGAAGUAGAAACGAACAUUAAUCGAAGCUUUAGCUUUUCCUUUAUUUAAGUCCAAAUAUGGUUUAUCUUGAUAUAAAUAAAUAAUUUCAAUCAAUUAAGUACUUUUAGUAUUCAAUUUAAUCCAUAGUUCAUAUUUAUGAAAAAUCACAAAUUUUCCCCUAACAUUUUAACUUUUAACAAUUUAGUCCUUAAGCUCAUAACUUGAAAUUUAACCAUUUUAAUCCUCCAUACUAACUAUCCAAUUUUCAUAGCUUCUUAUACCAACUCACUUAAACCAUCAUUUCAUAAUUUUAACUUGAAAUUUUACUAUUUUCACAAAUAAACCCCUAAAUACAAUUUCACCAAAAUUAACUUAACAAAACUUGUUUAUUUUACAACAAAGAUAAAUAAUCCAUAAAAUAACAUCAAAACACAUUCAAAAGCAUUCAUGGAAAGUCCCUUAACCUUUACUAGUUUUACAAAUUAACCCCCAGCUAACUAGAUUAAGCUAAAACAAGCUUAAAAACAUAAAAAUCAUGAAAAACAAGUUGAAAAACACAUACCAUGCACUAGAACAAGCUAGUUGAACCAAGCAUUCAAAAAUGGUGUUCUUCUCCCCUUAAAAUCGGUUAAAGAUGAAAAUAAAAAAUGAUACAUGCUUUAAUUUCUUUUGUUUUAGAUUUAAUUUCUAAAUUACCAUUUUAACCUUAUUAUUAACCAAAAUUUUCAUUAAAACCUAUCCAUAAACAUCCAAUAACUUCUUUAAUUUUUAUAAUUAUCAUUCAAGUCCAUUGAGUUUCAUUUCCAUAGCCAGUUGACCCCUUUAACUAAUAGAACUCAACUUUUUCACCUUUUAUGAUUUAGUCCUUUUUACUUAAUUUACCUUUUAAACAUCAAAAUUUCUUAGCAAAAUUUUAAUACGACCUAAAUAUAAUCCCGUAGAAAAUAAAUGAAUAAUAAAAUAAUAACUUACUUCUCAAAAUUCUGGUCUCGAAACUACUAUUUUGACACCACUGAAAACGUGUUUUUACACUUAUCAUGUAUAUGCCAAGAGUUAGUUGGGAUUUAUAUGUAAUGAUUUAUUUCCUAACCUUAUAAUGUUGUGUAUAGGAAAGGAAGUUUGGCAUACGACUUGAUGAGAGUAGGUUUGGUUGUUUAAUUUAAUAUGAUUGGUAAGUUAAGUGUCGCCUAUACGAAUUUACUAAGCAUUAAAUGCUUACGUAAUCGUUUCCUCUAUCUUGUAGUUUAUCGAAAAGUUCAGUUGGUUGGAAUCUCGUCGGAGUAUCGUCACACUAUCUAUUUGUAAUAUUGGUAUUUAUAGUUAUUUUAGUUAAUGGUUAUAAAUGGCAUGUAAUAGGGUUAUAAAUGUAAUCUUGGUAAUUGGUUUGUUUUUAAAUGGUGCCAAGUUCAUUCAUUUUCGUAUCAUUCAAUGAAAGCUUAAAUGACGUAUAUUCAUAUGAGAUAUUAGUAACUAUGCAUGCCCUCAUGUGAGUAGAAAGAAGAAAAUUUUGUGUGAUAUAUUUGAUAUGGUUAUUUGGUAUAUAUAGGACUUUGUGUAUUGGUAGUUUUUGGAUAUCGUAAUGGUCAAUUUGGUAUGUAUAUGCCUUUGAUGUUCAUGUUUGGUUUAAUGGACUUUUAAUGCCUUCUCAAGUUAGGUCAUUUUUGGCCAUUUUUAGGUACUUGAAAUAUAAGACUCUUUUUGGUAAGUUUGUAAUGGCAUGUAAAUGCUCAUAUGUGAUACCAUUUGGUAAAUAAAUAAACUAGGUUUUGUGCUUGAGUAUGAAUAUAUUGAAUUGUGUGGUUAAUGAUGUUAUGGUAUAAAUGUGAUGCAUUUGAAUUCCAUAUUGGUUAGAUGGAAUAGGAUAAUUGAAAUGGUAUGUUUAAAUGUGUUUGAAAAAUGUUUAAGUCUCUUGAAUGUGUGCACAAAUGGCAUGGUUGGCUAAUUGUGUCACACACGGCCUAAUUUUAGGGUCAAAUUAUGGAUCACACGGCCUAGGACAAGGGCUGUCACAUGGCCUGGUGACACGACCGUGUGUCAUUUGUUAUUUGUUUGUGUAUCAAGACAAAGAGUUAAACAGUCUAACACACAGCCUACGACACUGUCGUGUGACCCAACUCAGUGAGUUACACAAGUUGAGACAUGACCGUGUGUCCCUUUGUUUGUUUAUCACACGGGUUGAAACAUGCCUCAAAAUUAUUAUAAAACCAUUCAAAAUAAAUGUCCAAUGUCCGAAGUCCAUUUACAGCCAAAAUCAAACUAAUUCCCAAUAUACCACAAUGCCAGACUACAGUCUCUAAAAUGCGUAAUAAAGUCUCUACCAAGCCUAAAUCUCUUGGAACUCUCUUGGUCGGCUCCUCAGCUCUUCAAUCCUGAUGAAUAUCUGCACGAAUGUAAGCUCAGUGAAUGUUAAAAAAAACAAUAAGUAAAUUAACAUCAAAUUCAUGCUUAAUUCACAACCAAUCAUUCACCAAUUGUUAGCUAAAAUAAUUAAACAUGUCAAUUUAAUUUUCAUAAACAUUUUAAUACCGAAAAUCAAUUAUUCAUGGCUUUCAAUCAUCAAUUGAUAUAGCAACAAUCACACAAAAAUAUAUAUUGGCAUUCAUUUCUUAUGGCUUAAUCGGGUGAUCAUACAUCAGGUAAACGAAUCUCUGAACUCCCACAAAUAUCAAAUACAGUCCACUGAGUUAAGUGGACCGAAGCACAUGCUCCAUUAUAGCGCCUCAAAUAACCCAUUGAAUGGAGACUUAUGUUCAACACUUCCUUAUCUACUCCAAGAAAUCAGUCCAUCUAGAGCCUCAUUGCUCACAAAUAACAUUUCAAUAUAGUGAGUACUCACAAAUCCUAUGGCAUGACAACUAUAUCCAAUGGAUCCACCAUGCAUGUUGCCAAUAUAUUCAAUCAAACAUAGCAAAUAAUAAGUUAUUAUUAUGCUCAAUUUAAUGUGACAAAAUGAUUAUGCAUAUUGCACAUUUACAACCAAUCCAUCAAAAAUUAACCAUUCAACCAUAAUUAAUUAAUUGUGAUAAUUAAUUAAGCUUCUAAUUAAACAUAAUUAAGGGUCAAUUUACCAAAUCACCCCUAAAAACACUCACCACACAAUUUUUUUCUACCACAACAAGUGAUCAACUAGGCAAGUUCGAGCUUCGAUUCCGGUUAUCUCGGUCCUCUUCAAGAUUUAGAGUUUAAACAGAGGUAAAGUAGACAUUAUCCCCUUUUCAAAGCUAUAUUAAACACAAUUUUUAAUUAACUAUGCUAAUAGAAAUUUACUCACAAAGAUACAUUACCGAAUUUGUAACAUCAAGUCGAAAACUCGAUUCCUCACAAAAUCGACCUCCCCAACCCUCCUAAUCACUUCCAAACAUCAAUACUAAAACAAUUACAUGUAAAAUAAGAAUCAAUUUCACAAAAAUCCAGAAAAUUAAUUCAAGAAGAUGAUGAAAUUCAGAUUUCUUCAAAUUCCCUCACAAAUCAUGUUUAAUCUUGAUAAAUAAGAUCAAAAACCUUCUAAUAGAUCCAAUUGAGUUGGAAAAUCUAUUGAUUCGUGGAUCUCCUCUCAAAAUUAAAGACCCACCAUUAAAGCGCCUUAAGCUUUUGAAGAAGAUGACAUUGAUAAAAAAAAUCAUGCAAUUGACUCUCAAAUCAUGUAAAAUUGUUUCUAAUCAUCAUAAAAAUAAGUUUAGAAAUGAUAAUUACCUUUGAUUCGUUUUAAAUCCUUUGAUUCAUUUUAAAUCCUUUGAUUGAAAUUCUUCAUUCAAUAAUCUUGAAAAUUUUCAGAAUAUUUUUGGAUACUUUUGAGAAUAAUUUCGGGUGAAAAGAGAGAGUAUUUUGAGAAGGAAAUUGUUUGGAUCUAUGAUUUGAUGAUAGAUCUUUAAAUCCAUGCAAAGAAAAUCAAAUUUAUAUAUAAUAUGAUGUGAAUGGUGUGAAAAAUAGGCUAGAUGCAUUGUUUCUAAAGUUGAAACAACCCACCAGAACUUAAAAACUGGGGAAUUUACCUAAUGGCCACUCCUACAUUUCCCUUGUUUUACCAUUUAAUCUUUUCCCUAAAAAAUUUAAAAUUUUAAUGUUCAUUUGCCAAAUAAAUACCCCCAAAAUUUUCCUUAUUUUACAAUUAAAUCAAAUUUAAUUAAUAUUUAAAUUUAACUCAAUUUAACCCUCAAUAAAAAUUGUUUUAAAAUUCUUUUUGGACCCAAAUUAAUUAUUUUCACUAAUAAUUAUUUAAUUACUUUAAAAUUAAUUUUUCAAAAAUAUUUUAUUUUUCUAAAUUAUUUUUUAAUUGAUUUUAAAUGAAAUUAACCUCCUAAAUUAAAUUAAGAAUCACUAAAAACCCUAUAAUUUCAUAGUUUCACACUCGAAACCUGAAAAAUACACCCGAAACUUCUAGACUUGGUUUAGGGAUAUUACAUGAAGACUAGACAGACAAAUCACGACAUGAAGGCGUGUAAGCCCAUGUGACGGAGACCCAUAGUAUGAUAUGUUGAUAAGAAUAUUCAUAGUGAUGCCUUUGAUGAUAUAUAAAUCAAACUGGUAGAUCAUGACAUGAAGAUAUGUAUAAGCCCAUGAGGGAGAAACUCAUGACGCCUUAUGUGAAAGUCUACUGGUACAGUAAAAAUGUGACUCUGUAUGUGGCCUGUGUGGCGUGAUCUGCUAAGCCAUACUGGCAUAUUUUGUACUUCCAUUGUGGCAAAUUUUGUAGCGCUUAUGUGGCGUAUUCAAUGAUAUGUGUGUGAGGCAGAAUAUACUAUCUGCCCUUGUGGUAAGUUUGAUGACUUCUUCAAAAUAAGAUUCUACGAUAGUGGUAUGAUACAUCUGAAAUUAACUUGGUAUGAUUAGUCUUGUGUUGUUUUUGAAUGACUGUAAAAGGAUGGUUUCGGAUAGAAAGUAUGUAUCUGCAUUUCUAAGAAAGAAUCCACUAUAGCAAUCUGUCAGUAUAGGAUAUGGGUAUAUUCAUAUAUCUGAAAGGUACAAGUAUUUGUUUGUUUGAGUUUUAUCUAUGCUAUGUGUGAAUAAAGUAUGAGAUCUGAGAUCCGUUUAUGUGAAUAGAAUUAUGUAUCGUCCAGGGGUUUAUUGGAAUAUGAGUCGUUUGUCUAUAUGGGUGUUCUUAUGUUAUGUAUCAUAGACGUAUGAGAUUCUUCUAAUUUUUUGGAAUCCUUCCUCAACUAUAUGAUCAUGUAUUGGUUUUGAGUUAGAAUAUGAUUGGAUUGAUAGUCUGAUGAAGGUUAACAAACUCAGUAUGUGAAUCUGCCAACCGUAAGAUCAAAUUGUUGUAUCCGUCAAGAAAGAGUAUAUGUGGAUGUCCAUUUUAAGAUAAAUGAGAUGUUUCAUUUGAAGGGUAAAUUUGUAGAAAGAGGGUUUUGUAUAGAUAUCUUUUUGAAGAAUUUUCGUGUUAUUAAGGUAAAAAAAGGUAUAGAUAUUAUCUGGUAAGAUUUGGAGACAACCAAAUAAUGAAGUGAAAGUUGAUACAUUAAGUAUGGUAAUUGGCGUAUAAAUGCAAGUUCGAUAUUAUAAAAGUAUUCGCCCAAAAAAAUGAUAUGUUAAGGAUGGAAACUAAAGUACAGUCGUAUAUCCAAUAUUAUAAAAGUACCCGCCAAUGUAUUCUGUAAUAAAGCCCACUAAGUUUGCGUAACUUACAAGCGUCAUGUUUAUGUUUAAGGUAUUAUUGUAUGAGUGAGAGCACCUGGAGGGACGAAGCUAGGAAUGCACCAAGGAAGCGGCGAACUGAGUUCUUAUGCAUAUAGUGGACAACUUGGGAAAGCAACAUAUAGUAGGACUACGCCUUAAAGAGUUUGUCUUUAUUAAAGUUUUGUGUUGUAAAAAGUUAUGACAAGGCUGAUGCAUUUUUAAAUACUUUUCUUUGUUUAUUUAAUUGUGAUUCUUAAUAAAAUAAAAAGAAAUAUAUUUUAUUAAAGGGAUAUUCAAAUAUUUUAAAAUUUUAACUAAGCGUAUUUGUUUGGUAAUACCUAAGAUCUGAACCUGGUAAUUCGGGUCGAGUUGAAGGCGUUAUAAAAUGCCUCCAACCAGUAGCUAAACCAUAUCUUUUGAGAAUGAAAGGUUUUGUAUAUAUGUAUAAGGAUAUGAUAUUUUACAUGAAUCAACACUUGUAUGCAUCAUGCCAAUAAAUUAUGUUACAUACUCCCCAUUAAAAUUGAUUUCUAGUCUGGAGGCAAAUAUAACUCAUUUUAGAAUUUUCGAGUUGCCGUAUAUGUUCAAGUCGCUCCAUCACAAUGCACAAAAUGAUAUUUAAAGAAAGUUGAGAAUAUAUAUUAAUUAUAAGUCUCUUUGUAUUAUUAGAUGUUUUUGUUCGAAUUGGAGAUUCAAUUAUGAUAUGAUUUAAUGAUUACAACUUUAAUUUAACAAGUUUUCCUAACAUAAGGGGAAGAGAUAUGGUAGUAGCAAGAUGAAAUGAUUAAAUUGAAUGAAUUAUCAUUAUCUAGAUUCUCGCAAAAAUUAAUUUAAACCAAAAGUUCAAAGAGAUAAUUUAUUUUAUUUCAAGUUAACUGCCAGAUGUAUUUAUUGACCUAUAGAGAAAAACCAAGAGUUAUAUAUCAGCUAAUGCGUUGAAGUCACAAUCGGACAACCUGCUAGAAUAAAUUGAAAGUAAUGCAUGUUUAAAGCAUGGUAGAUCCAUCAAUUUCAAAGAUGAAAAUUCUCGUAAAAAAAAUAAAUCAAGAUAACCAUUUAGUGGAGGCGGGUGCUCUUGAAGAGACCCAAGGCAUAACUAAUUAUUAACACUUCAAGAAGAAAUUUAGGUACAUGAUGAUGAAAAUAGUGAAAAUAAAGAGAUAUCAAUAGGAUAUGUCAAUACGAGAAAAUGUGAAACCAUGAAAAUAAAAAGUUGUCGACAAUGAUUUUGCAAUAUUGAAAUAAUAAAAGAAAAUGAGGAUCUUGAAUAAAUUUGUCAAGAAAUAUAUACAUGAAAUAGAUUGGCCAAAACAGAAAGAUUCAACUCAAGUAUAAUCAAAUUCGUUAAGUUUUUGGACCAAAUAUCUAAAGGUAUAAAGCCAAUAAGGGUAUAAAUUAAGUAGCUUUGAAAAAUGAAAUAAGGAAAAUAUAGUUUUUUUCACUAAGUCCUAGAAUUGAUUAUGAAAUAUACUCUUUUGUGGUAGAUGCAAUAACCUUUAGAUAUCUUAUUAGUUUAGCAGUUCAUGAAAAUUUGCCAUGUGUCUAAUGAGUGUUGUUAUAGCCUUUUAUAUGAAUAUAGUGAAGUUCAUAUUAAAAUAUUUGAAGGAUUUAGAAUGCUGGAAGGAUAUAGAAAUUUCUAGGAAAUUGUUCAAUAUGCUUGCGUAAAUAUAUAUAUUAAUUGAAAUGAUUUGAACAUAUGUAGUAAAUUAGACUCAGUGGAUUGUAGUUGAAGGAAGAGUAUAAGAUGAUCCAAAAUACCUGUAUGUAUUUUUGUAGAAGGAUCAUGAUCAAAGUUUGCUAUGGUUAUUGCCAGAACUCCUGAAGAGAUCGAAAUAUAUUUCUCCAAAAUUCUUCCUCACUCAUGACAUUUAGAAGAAUGAUGAUAUAAACGUUGAUCAAACACCAUUCAAGCGAUCAUUUGAAAUGCUAGUAUUUUGGAUGGAAUAAGUAGAAUAUGAGAUAAUAUGUGAUGCUGACAUGAGGGGGAGUAAAUAUGCGAUAUACUCUUUUUCCCUUAACUGAGGUUUUGUCCCAUUGAGUUUUCCUAGUAAGUUUUUUAAUGAGGCAGCAUGUUAUGCGUAUUAUAGAUUUGUGUACUCUUUGUCCUACACUAAGAAUUUUUUUCCCAUAGGAAUUUUAUCUUAGCCAGGUUUUAAUGAGGCACAUCAUCUACUAAUAUAUAUCUAAGGGUGAGUGUUAUAAGUAUUUCAUUAUUAAGUAGAUGUCCAUCAAGAUAAAAAUAAGUUUGAUAUACUCUAGGACUCUAAUAUUAAUUAGAAGUAAAGUUUUAUUUCAUUUAUACUUAUUAUGUCUAUAAAUAUAGACUUUAGAAAAGAUUUAUUAAAAAUUUAUUCUCAUUUAUUCUCCUGUUUAUCUUUAUCUUUUAUUUUUUUAUAAUUUUAUUUCAUAAUACGCUAUGAUAGUUAAUCUAAACAAAACUAAAGUUAAAACAGAAAAAAAAAUUGAAGUUACAACACAUGCAUGUAAACCGUAAUGGCGUCAUCGGCAUUUAAAGCCUAGCUAGAAAAAGACCUUUUAUGAUUUGUAUUCUUAGAUUUAUAAAGGAAAUUGAAAUAAAAGACAGAUUUUAGAAAAAUGUAGUUUUUAAUCGGUAAAGGCAUGAUCGAGAUUUUCGGUCUAUCGGUUGAAGGACAAGUUUCAUCCUUUUGCAGUGAAUCAUUAAAAGGUUUAGGUUAAAAUAUGUCAUAAGUCCGACUCUCUUUACAAAUUUAGUUUUAAUUUUUAAAUUAUUAUUUUCAAAAGAUUAGUCUUUCGAUUUUUUAGAUUUUAAAAUUUAAGUUAGUUGUUAACAUUUUUUUUGGUUAAAUUAAUUGGAGUAAUAUUUUGAAAUAAAAAAAAAACUUUAAAGCAAUGUAAUUAAAAAAAAACGUUGUAGUGAACCUGAAUCAUAAAAAAUAAUUUUAAUAGUGUUAAUAGUCGAAGCUAAACUUUGAAAAAUUAAAAGUAGAGACCUUAAAUUUCUAAAAAUAAAAAUAUAAAGACUAAAUUCUAAAUUAAUGAAAAGUAUAAAAACUUAUGAUAUAUUUUAACCAAAUAUUUAUUCUUAAAUAAAAAUGAUAUUCUAAAACAUCAAAAAGGGAAAAGAAAAGUCACUAUCUAUAACCUCAUUAACAAUAUACACCUAAAAUAUAUGUGCAUGGUCUAAAAGAUUACUUUUAGCAAACAAUGUUUUGUUUCCUACAAAGAAGUUGAUAAAAUAAUAGGAUUUAAAAAUGACAGGAGAAGAUGAGAAGACUAAUAUUUCUUUAAAAUAUUAAUCUCAUUAUAAAUUUUUAUUAUAUUUGUUUGUUUUCGAUACAAUAUCUAGCACUAUUUAUAAUUCUUCUUCAAUCCUUAAAUAGGAAGAUAAUGUACUUCAGCGCACUCAAACCUACGUCUUCCUACAUUAACAACAAUACCAAAUUAAAAGACUAAAAAAUUAAGAUAAUUUAUUUUUUUAAUAAAACUAAGAUAGUUUAUGUCAUUGGUCUAUGCUAUGUAUUGUAGCUCUAUGUAUUACUUUCGUGGAUAAUAUAUCUUGCAUUGAUAAAAGAAAGGCGAAGAUUAAAAAAAGUUUAAUGAUGACAAAGAUGAUUAUACUACUCCUUUUAAAUGUCAAUGUAUUUGAAUGUAUGUUCUUAUAUUACUACAUUAUGAUUUUUAUAUAUAUAAUUUUGUUUAAAAUUUUAUUUCUCAUUAUUUAAUUAAAUUUAAAAAUUAUCAUAAAAUAGAUUAUUUAUUUUAACGUUUUAUUAUUUAAUUUAAAUAACGAUUUUUAGUGUAAUUAUUUAAUACCUAAAUUUCAUUAAUUUCAAUUAAUUAUUUAAAAUAUAUUAAAAUUAAUUAUGAAUAAUUAUAUUGAAAAUAUUUACAAUAAAUAAAUUCGAUUUUAAUUAAAACAAAUAAUAACCCAUGCAUCACACGAGAAAGAAAACUAGUUAUAUAAUAUUUUAUUUUAUAUUAAAUUUAAAUUUUUUAUAUAAUUAAAAUGUCGUAUAGCACAACAUGAUAGGUUGAGAGAUAUUUUUUAACAAAAGGUAACAUUUGGAUUAAAGUAGAAACAAAAUCAAAAUUUAAGUGCCACUUCUAAAAAUAUACCUAAAUAGAAAAGACGUUUUAAUUUAAGGGUUAAGUUUUUAUUUAAGUCAAUUCUCACUGAUGAUUAUCACCUACCAUGCAUUUGAAAAGAAAUACUUCAUUUCAUUUUAUAAAAAAAGAUAAAUCUCACCGUUUUAGUCAUUCAAUUUCAAAAUGUUUCAAAAUGGUCACUGAACGAUUUGAAAAUUUUCAUUUAAGUCAUUGGUUUUUAAAAUCAUUGUUGUAUGAUUUUAUCUAUUCGCACCUUCUGCACCAAUUGAAAGCUUUAAUUUCCCUUCUCUUCUACAAUUCAAUUUUUUCAUACAAUAUCUUUGGAUGUCACGAAUAUACAAACCAAAAUUCAAACAAAUUUCUUCUUCAAUCUCCAAUACUAACCAUCAUAUUUAUUUGGAUCUAAGGUAUGUUCUUGUACUCAUCGAUGGAUACUGACUCAUCAUACUGACCGUGGAAUCGAUGCUUGGUGACUUAACAACUCAGUGACUAAAAUAAAAACUUUUGAAUAAUUUAGUGAAUUAAAUGAAAACUUCCGAAUAGUUCAAUGAUCAUUUUAUAACUUUUUAAAGUUGAGUGAUCAAAACGUAAAUUUGUUAAAUUUUAGUGCCCUUUGAUGUAAUUUAUUAAAAAACUAGGAUUUUUUUUAAUAAUACCACGUGAUAAAGGGUAAUUCAUUCUUUUUAUGUUUCCCUAAAUAAUGGAUUUUUAAUUUAAGAAUACCUACCAUAUGAUAGUGAUAUACAUGGCAUCACUUCGAAAAAUAAGACCGACCAUUUGUAAAUCCUUUUGCAUGAUAUCUAUCAAAGUUGUUACUCUCCUCUAAGUAUCUUCUUUUCCCACCGCUAUGGAAAAAUCAAUAUUUUCUGGACCCAUUGAUGAAGAAUUAAAACCAGACGAAAAAGGUUACCAAAAGACAUUCAAAAACUACAAUCAACUACUACCGACUCUCCCAAAAGGCAAAGGUUGGUGGUUAGACCAGCUUCCCCAAUACCAAGGCUUUUGGCUAACUAGUUUUGGCCUAAGAGGAAGCAUGUUGAUCGAUGACCACUUCAAGCAUUAGCCCAUUGACAUCAUCGUUGCAACAUCCCCUAAAAGCAACACUACUUGGCUUAGAGCCUCUUUUUUCUCCAUUAUCAAUAGACAUUCCUUUGAUUUUAGCUACCAUCAUUUUUGCAAGGCAAACCCUCGAGACUUGGUCAUCUUCUUCGAAGGAAUUAUUUAUACAGAUGAGUCAACUUCCUUUGUCGAUAAGCUUCUUUCUCCUCGUAUUCUCUCAACUCACCUUCCUUUCUCUUUGUUUCCAAAACGCAUGACCAAUGAUAGAAAUCGAGGAGUUUAUUGAGACAAAUUUGAUCAGAUUUUAUUUCUUUCUUUCUUUAGGAUUGAGUCAAUUCUUGAUUAUAAUUUGAUGAGAUCUUGUUUCUUUCUUUUUUUAAGAUUGAGUCAAUCUUUGAUUAUAAAGAUUCUUUAACUCUUUCCUUGUAAAGCUUCAUGUGUUGUAGGUUUGACGGGGAAAUUGAGAGACGAAGAGUGGAAACGUGGGAGAGAUUUUUGGGAAAUCCUUUUUAAUUAAUUUUUUUCAUCAAUUGGACAAAAAUAAUAUACAAACUAGAUGUUCAAAGAUAGGGGUUGGGACAAUAAUAACAAAAAUUCAAGGGAAGAGAUUUGAACAGAAGACAUUUCACACGCAAACACAAUACUUAACCACUAAACCAAAUCAAUUCACUUGAUAAAUUUUAACAAUUCAAAAACUAAAAUUUUGGGACAUUACAACUUUCCCUUCUUAAAGAAAUUUUGACUUCAAAAUUUACUUGACUCGAACAGAUGUGAUUCAAUUAAAUAAUUUUAAGCAACAUAUAAAAUUAUAAACUUAAAAUAAAUAAUUUAAAAUCAUAAAAGAAAAGGGAAAAAAUUCACAAAUUAAAUAGUUUUAAGCAACAUAUAAAAUUAUAAAUGAUGCUUGUGGUUUCUAAUGAAAAUGUAAACUGUUAUGUAGAAUAUAUUAUGUUUAAAAUAUUAUCAUUCUUGUCUGAAAUUUUGAUUCAACUUAAUAUAAUUAAUUUUUGUAUGGUUAAAUUAUCUUUCAUGUUCGUUUUACUAGAAAAUUUUAAAUAAUUCGAUUUGAUUAAUUUGAAAUUUAAAUUUUAUUCUAAUUAAAUCGAGUUUUGCUCAGCUCUAAGAAUAACAGAGAGGAUGGUGAGGGAAAGAAAUAUUUUUUAAUAUUAAUAUAAUUAUUUUUAAUUAAUAUUAAAAUCAAUAUUAAAAUAAUAUUCUUUAAUUAUAUCUCAACUCGCUUAAUUUUAAAUGUUUAACUAUUUUAAAUGUUUAAUUAUUCAAUUCUCUUAACUGGCUGUUGACUUGUAUGUCAUGGUUCUUAAUUUAAAAAUGCUAUUGACGUGGCAGUACCUAAUUGAUUAAAAAAAAUUUUCCUAAUGGUAUUAACUUUUAGGGUAAAAUGAGUAACGAAAAUUAAGUUUGAGUAACAUAUUUGACUAAAAAAAAUUUAAGUAUCAUUUUGAAAAUAAGGUAUAGUUUAGGGGGUAUUUUUUUAAAUUAAACCAUUAAAAUAUUAAUCAAAUAUAAGUUAAAAACAUUUAAAACUUAAAUUAACUCUCUCUUUUUUAAUCGAUGUCUAUUUAUUUAUAGAUUCAGAGAGGUAUCAUUUAAAUUGUUAGUUCAGAAGGACCAACUCGAGAACACCGAUAAGGAAGUUGUGGUGGAGCCAGCUACUGGCUUUGUAUAGCUAGGUUUAAAAUAAUGGUUUGUUAAUUUAAAAAUACCACGUGAUGUUGGUAUACGCAACGUGUAGCUUUGCCAUUCCCACUUUUGUCAAAUAAAACGAUCAUUUGCAAAUCCUUCUUGCAAGAUCUCAAGAAAAUUAGUUGCUCUACUCUACCAUCUUCCCAAUGGAGACUUCAAAAACUUUUUCGAGCGUAGAGACACUAGAUGAAGCUUACCAAAAGGCAUUCAAAAACUGCGAUGAACUGCUGCCAACUCUCCCUCAUACCAAAGGUUGGUGGUUCGGCCAGCUUUUCCAAUACCAUGGCUUUUGGAUACCAGGUUUUUAUUUUUGUUCAUAUCCCUAUUUCGUUACACUUAAAUGUUAUUUUCGCUCAUCUUAUAAUAGAAUGAGUCUGUUAAUUUAGUGAUUAAACUUCAAUGUACUCUUUAAGUAUGUGAAUCCUUGCUUGGGCAAUUAGAAUUAUUUUUAUUAAUGGUCUUGUGAGUAGUACGGCUAGUGAAAUUUGGAUUCGAAAUGAAGUAUCUGGGAAAUAUGUUAGAUAAGGAUUAGGUUUGUUGGGAUAAUGAAAAUAUUUAUUGAAAGAGAAAAAAAAAGAACAAUCCCAAAUUUUUGAUCCACUAAUCACGUGUUUUUUCACUUUGGUCUUCGGUAAAGUUUUCCCAAAAUUUCUUUCUUUCGUUAAUCUUCCCGUUUCUCUCCAAACUUCCUUGGUUUCUUGAUUGUGGUCUCUUGUGUUAUUCAAUUUCUGUGGUGCACGUGUGAUUGAAUUGUUCGCAACUUGACUCUUGCGUAAGCAUUGUCUAUGUUCGUUCCUUCUGUCACUGAGUUUCCCUUUCGUUAUCCUUGGCUAAGUUGGGAUUUUUGUGCUGCAUUUUCUGUUGUUAAUCGUGUGGUUUUUUUAGGUGAAGGUCACGAAAUGGUUAAUCCACUUGCGGAUCUGGCAGCUAGUCUGUAUAUAUUUUGUAAAGUGACUUAUGAUCACUUAGAGGUGUGUGGGGCUGGAUGGGUAUUUAAUACCCUAAUUGGUAUAUAGGGAUGGUCGGAGAUGGUGUGUAACAGAUGAAGGUAGGAUCUGAAUCUGUAUUUAUUAUGCAUCUAAAUCUGUAUCUGCUAUGCAUCGAUGUCUGUAUUAGUUCCGUAAUUUGUUUAAGCAUGUGUAUCUGAUUUAUUGUAUAUAAUGAGUUACACACUGAAUUCAUAAGCUCACUUUCUGUUUCUUUGGUUCUCAAGUAAUCCUCAAACGUAGGACGGAUCAGUGUGAUAGGAGCUCGAUUUUACAUUUUUGUUUUAUAUUUUUGUUUUAUAUUUCCUAAAUUUUGUCCAGUUUAACUUAUUUUUGUUCCGUUGGACUGUUUUAGAUUUUUGGACUGUUUUUAAUUUCGAUUUUAUUUUUAUUUCUCAUUUAGAACCGUUAAACAUUUUUUUUAUAAUACCAAACCUAUCUGCAAAUGUUGGAUUUCAAAAUCAAGUCGUGUUUCCAAAACUUUAUUUAACUAAAAAACAAAACAAAUUGAUUUAAUAAGUGAUCAUCGACAAAGCUAAUAAAUUAUUUUAAAAGGAAGAUUUCCUCAAAUAAACUGGAGUUUUAAUUAUUUUACAAUUUCAAAAUGGGUUCUAGAUUUUCAAAUAAAUUUAAAUAACACCUUCAUAUUUGGUGAUAAUGUCUAGGCUAGGUUUAGAGUGUUACACCUCUUUUUCUUAAUCACCUACUUGUGAAACUUCUUUUUGUUGAAAGAUGCUUUUGCAAAUCUUUUGGUAAUGUCCCAUCUGCAUGGUGCCUCCAAACUUUUAAAAGUAUUGCAGCAAAAUGCGGUGAGUUCAUUGCUACAGAUAGGGGUGAGAAAAACUCGAUUUGACUCGAAAAAAUCGAAAAAAAAUUCGAAUUUUGAGUUAAACGAAUCGAGUUAUUCGAGUUAAUCGAGUUAUUCGAAUCAACUCAAAUUUUUUUUUUCGAAUUUCGAGUUCGAAUCGAGUUGAGUUUUCGAAUUCGAAUAAUUCGAAUAUCAAACUAUAAUAUUUUACAUUUUUACCCCAAACUCCCAAACCUUUUUACUUUUCCUUCAAAACUUUUACUCCUUCCCACUUUCCCCCCAAAACUUUUACUCCCCUCCCCUCCCAACCCCCCAAUCUACCCAAAAUCCAUUUCCCACCAAAAUUUUACUCCCCCAUCCACUUUUUCUCAAAAUUUUACUCCCAAAAACCCUCAAAACCUUUUAUUUUCCCCCAAAAUUUUUAUUCCCUCUCACUUUUCUCCUAAAACUUUUAUUCCCUUCCCAUCCCCCUCCCAUCUAUCCCAAACCCUCCCCCCUCCAUUUUUUUUUAAUAUUUUCCCUUCAAAAUUUUACCCCCCUAUUUACUUUCUCUCAAACUUUUAUUUCCCAAAACUUUUUAUUUUUCCUCUAAACUUUUACUUCUCACCCUUUACUCUCAAAUAAAAAAUCAAAAUUAUCCCAAAAAAAUCACUAAACAUAAAUAGUAAUAAUUUUAUUUAUAUCUACUAUUUAUAUUAUUAAAUUAAAUUUCACAUUUUAUAUUAUUUAUAUUAUUGAAUUUUUUAGUCAUAUUGAAUAUUUAUAUUAAAAUUGAAUUAUUAAUUAUGCCAUAAAAUAUUCGUGUUAAAAUUUUAUAUUAGUAUCAAUUUCACAUUUUAUUUUUAAAAUAACUUUUAUUAAAAAAUUAUAUUUUUACAUUUAAUAUAUUUUUUAAUUCCAAAUUACAUAGUGACAAGAAUCUGAAAAUAAUUGAAACAACUAAGCAAGCAAAGAAGCUAACCAGUAUAUAAAAAAUUAAUAAAUAAAUUAUGAGGUGAUGAAAGUUAAUAAAAAAAUUGAUUAAGGUGGAUAAAUUUUAUUACGAUGGGUGACAAUGGUUACAAGGACCCAAAAUUAUUUUUUAAAAUUUAACUCAACAAAUAUAUUCGAUUCGAUUCGAUUCGAAUUCCAUCUCACUCGACUCGAUUUGAGAAAACUUCAAAUAAAGUUAGGAUGAUAAAAUGAGAUUCGAAAAUUCAAUUAACUCGAAAAUUUUCGAUUCGAUUCGAUUCGAUUCGAUCGAAUGCUCACCCCUAGCUACAGACAGUAACAUUUUAAAUUGCAAUUCUUUUACUAGAAGAAUUUUCAUGAUUAUCACGGAUCAUCUGAGCAGAAUUCAUGAAGAACUGGAUCUCAAAGUCAGUGAUUUUUUUUUUCAAAAUUAGUGUCAUUCAAACAGAACCAAUGGUUAUUCCUAAAAUACAAAAUUAGGAUGAAGAUUACUCAGGGGAUAAUGAAUCGCACAGUGUUCCAUUCAUAGAGGCAGAGAUUAACAAAGACGUUAACCAUGUUGGAGGAAAAUUUGAUAUUUAGUCCCUACAUUUCAAAAGAUAAAAAUUCAAUCCUCUUAUUUUCUUUUUAAUUUAAAAAAAUCUCAUUUCAAUCAUUAUUAUCCUUAUUAGUUUCUAUUAAAAAUUGUAAACUUAAUAUGUUUAUUUUUCCUUAAUCAUAUGACACAUCACAUGAGAGUAACGUAAUCAACAUGCUAAAUUGACAAAUUUUGUCAAAAAAUAUUAAAGGUUUUAACGAUUGAAUUGGUAUUUUAAAUCAAAACAAUUCAAAAACUAAAAUUUUAAGUAUAGAGAUUAAAUCUCAAAUUUUAUGAAAGUACGGGGACUAACAUCAUAUUUUAACCAUUUAUUGUAUCUUAAGAAUCAAAUUGACAAUUUUUUUAUUUCAACUUCAUCGUUUUUGUUGGAGCCAGCUACUGGCUUUGUAUAGCGUGGGACUCGCGAGGUUUAAAAUAAUGGUUUGUUAAUUUAAGAAUACCACGUAAUGUUGGUAUACGCAACGUGCAGCUUUGCCAUUCCCACUUUUGUCAGAUAAAACGAUCAUUUGCAAAUCCUUCUUGCAAGAUCUCAAGAAAAUUAGCUGCUCUACUCUACCAUCUUCCCAAUGGAGACUUCAAAAACUUUUCCGAGCGUAGAGACACCAGAUGAAGCUUACCAAAAGACAUUCAAAAACUGCGAUGAACUGCUGCCAACUCUCCCUCAAACCAAAGGUUGGUGGUCAGUCCAGCUUUUCCAAUACCAUGGCUUCUGGAUACAUAUUUUUGGCAUAAGAGGAAGCAUGUUGAUCCAUGACCACUUCAAGCCUCGAUCCACUGACAUCGUAGUCGCAACAUCCCCUAAAUGUGGCACCACCUGGCUCAGAGCCCUCGUUUUCUCCAUUAGCAACAAAGCUUCCUUUGAUUUCAGCGACCAUCCUUUGCGGAAAGCAAACCCUCAAGACUUAGUCCCUUUCUUCGAAUCAAUUAUUCAUAAAGAUGGGUCAACUUCCUUCGUCGAUGGGAUUCCUUCACCUCGCCUUCUUUCAACUCACCUUCCUUACUCUUUGUUCCCAACACGCAUGACCGAUGAUACCUCGGCUUGCCGUUUCGUAUACAUCUGCCGGGACCCCAAAGACGUUUUCGUUUCAAAGUGGCAUUUCGCGAACAAGUUGAGACCCAAAGAACUGCCACCACUUUCACUAGAGGAAACCUUUGACUUGUUUUGCAAAGGGGUUUCUCACUAUGGACCGUUUUGGGAUCACGUAUUGGGGUACUGGAAAGCUAGCGUGGAGUCAACGAAGAAGGUGUUGUUCUUGAAGUAUGAAGAUGUAAAGAAGGAGCCUUUGGGUUGUGUGAGGAAAGUUGCAGAGUUCUUAGGAGUACCCUUUACACCAGAGGAAGAAAACAAAGAGAUUGUGGAACAAAUAGUGAAGCUGUGCAGUUUUGAGAGCAUGAGCAAUCAAGUUGUAAACAAACUUGACAAAAGAUAUCAGCAACGUCCUAUAAGCAACUCCGAUUUCUUCAGGAAAGGUGAAGUUGGAGACUGGGUUAACCAUUUGUCACCUCAAAUGGCUGAGAAAUUGGAUCAGAUUACUGAACAAAAACUUCAAGAUACUGGAUUCAUCUUUCAUUGACUCCAAAGUUUCUCACUGAAUUUGAUUCAUAUUUGAAUGAAGAUUUUCUUUCUAAUUACGUGAUUUGCGUAUUAUGUGUCUUUUUCUAUUUUGAUGAUCAACUAUGUAACGUGUUUUGUAUCUUCAAAAAUAAUAUAAUACAUCAAGAAAUAUCAAAUUAUACAUUAUUAUUUUAACUCUAAAAUUAAAUUAUUUUUAUAAAAUUCUAGAACCCUACGUUUUAAAUUUCUAAACUUUAAAACUUAAAUCCUACACCUCUUUUUAGGCACUAGACCUUAAUUUAACACUUCCUCUAAAAUCAUAAAUCUUAAAAUUUUAAAUUCUAACCGGCCAUACCAUAAAUCAUAAAUCUAGUUUAAAAAACCAUACACCUUAUGCUACUAUUACUAUUUGUUACUUUUAUUUAAUUUUUCGAACUAGAGUAAAUUAGAGCAACAAUAAACAAAAAAUCGGAAUGUAUUUUAACUUAAAUAAGAAUAAACUAGAAAUACAGUCAAAUCAAUACAAAACACAAAUAAACUAAAAAUUAGAAUAAUCUAAAUUUAAAUCAAAAUAAUUAUUCAAGAAAAUACAUGUGUUUAUAUUUUGCAUUAUAUUAGAAUUGGUGUUGAAUUUGAAAAAAGGAAAAUGAUUCGUAUGAUAUUCAUGCUUAUUUUCAGAAUAAGAUAUUGAUAUGAGGACGACAUAAUUAGUUGAUGUUUGUGUUGCGGAAGCGACGAUAAUAUUAAUAACAAUAUUAUCAGAAAUAUUUAGAUAAUUAUUAUGCCAACAAUUAUACUAAGAAAAUUCCCAGUUAAAUUGGAGGGGUCACAAAUGGUCCCGCUUAAAACCCAACAACUAGACAGAACUCACUUAGAUAUUUAUAGCAAUAAUAACUAAAUAAAUAUAACCAACAUAAAGCUAUUAAAUAUAAGCAAACAAAUAAGAAAUAAAAUACCAGAGAUUUAACGAGGUUCGGCCAAUUUAGCUUACGUCCUCGGACACUACCAAAUUAAUAUUUCUUCUAGAAAUAUUACAAAGGAGAAGAUUUUGGGAUGAUACAACCAAAGGGGGAGGGGUUCUAUAUAUAACAAACCAAACCCCCUCCCUUUCUAUCUUUUCCUAAUGUGGGAUAUUGCCAAUAUUCAACAAAUCUCCACCUUGGCGAUAUUCCACAUCUUCGAACAUCUUCUCAUAACACAAACUUCAAUAGUGUCUUCAAAUUUGCGCCAACGACGCCAUAUCAAAUGUGUCGGACAUUGAUCAAGUCUAAACAAUGUUCAAACUUGGCCCUUGUAACCACCUUAGUCAGCAUAUCUGCAGGAUUCUCCGUAGUGUGAAUCUUUUGGAGAAGUAUCUCCUCUUCUUCGAGAAUUUCCCGCACAAAGUGAUAGCGAACGUCUAUGUGCUUCGUUCGUGCAUGAAAAACUUGAUUCUUUGCUAAAUGAAUAGCACUCUGACUGUCAGAAUAUACCUUAAGUUGUUUCUGACCAACUUCCAAGUCUUUAAGCAAUCCAUGAAGCCAAAUUGCUUCCUUCACAGCCUCUGUAAUUGCCAUAUACUCUGCCUCUGUUGUAGACAAAGCCACCGUGGACUGUAAGGUAGAUUUCCAACUAACUGGCGCUUUCGCUAAAGUAAACAAAUAGCCAGUUGUAGACCGUCGCUUAUCCAAAUCACCUGCAUAAUUAGAAUCACAAUAUCCAACUAUGCAUUGACCAAAUGAUUCAUCCUGCUCGAAUGCCAAUCCGACAUCUAUGGUAUUUUGGAGAUACCGCAGAAUCCAUUUCACAGCUUGCCAAUGACCCCUGCCCGGAUCAUGCAUGUACCUGCUAACAACACUAACAGCCUGUGAAAUAUCUGGUCUUGUACAUACCAUUGCAUACAUCAAGCUUCCAACUGCAUUUGCAUAUGGGACUUUUGCCAUGUACUCUCGUUCUUCCUUAGUCGUUGGAGAUAACUGGUUACUUAGUUUAAAAUGAGGAGCAACUGGGGUACUUACAGGUUUUGUACCUUCAGACAUACUGAAACGUUGUAGUACCUUCUCCAAAUACUGUUUUUGUGACAGCCAAAGUUUGCCCCUCUUUCUAUCCCGAGUUAUUUCCAUGCCGAGAAUCUUCUUAGCUUCCCCUAAAUCCUUCAUCUCAAACUCUUUACUCAACUGAGCCUUCAGUCUAUCAAUCUCCAUUUGGCUCUUUGCUGCAAUCAGCAUAUCAUCAACAUACAAGAGUAAGUAGAUGUAGGAACUAUCUUGAAGCUUGCGCAAAUACACACAAUGAUCGUAUUUGCUUCUUUUGUACUUCUGGUCCUUCAUGAACCUGUCAAAUCGUUUGUACCAUUGUCUCGGAGAUUGUUUCAAUCCGUACAACGAUUUGCUAAGUUUACACACCCAAUUUUCUUUACCAGCAACCCUGUAUCCAUCUGGCUGAGUCAUAUAGAUUUCCUCCUUCAAAUCACCGUGUAGAAACGCGGUCUUCACAUCAAGUUGAGCUAGCUCCAAAUUCAACUGCGCUACCAAGGCCAACAAAAUUCUAAUGGAGGAAUGUUUAACAACUGGAGAAAAUACCUCAUUAUAGUCAAUUCCCUCCUUCUGAGCGUAGCCUUUAGCCACUAACCUUGCCUUGUAAUGAACAUCUUCUUUGUCGGGAAAUCCUUCUUUCUUUGCAAAUACCCAUUUGCAACCAAUCGCCUUCUUCCCUUUUGGUAGUUGUGCCAACUUCCACGUCUUGUUUUUCUCUAGAGAUUGCAUUUCCUCUUCCAUUGCACCUAACCAUCUAUUAUUCUCUAAACUCUGAAUGGCUUCGGUGUAAGUGGAUGGAAUAUUAUCAACAACUGGAAGUGCAUAAGCUACCAUGUCAGUGAAACGAGCUGGUUUCUGAAUUUCUCGUCUCUGCCUACUGACUGCAAUUGGCUCUGAUUGCUGUUGAGGUUCUUGGGUAGAAACCUCUUCCUCAUCUGACUCUGCAUCUGCCAAUGAAGAAUCACUAGUGGUACCUUCUGCUGGAAUUACCACACUCUGCUCAAACUCCACCUGCUGCGGAGUACACUCCACCUGCUGCGAAGUACUACUCACUCCUUCUGGAUUUACCUUAUUCAACAUGGCAGAUUCAUGAAAGGUAACAUCCCUACUGAUUAUCGUCUUCUUUGCCUCUAGACACCACAAACGAUAUCCCUUAACACCAGCAUUGAAGCCCAUGAAUAGAGCCUUCUUUGCUCUUGGAUCUAACUUUGAUUCUUUCACAUGAUAAUAUGCAAUAGAACCAAAAAUGCGCAAGGUGUCAUAAUCAGUAGCAGGUUUUCCAUACCAUUUCUCCAAAGGAGUCUUGCCAUUUAUAGCAGAUGAUGGCAAAUGAUUGAUGAGAUGUUGAGCGUACGUCACAGCCUCAGUCCAAAACUUUCUAUCUAAUCCAGCAUUAGAUAACAUACAUCGAACUUUCUCCACAAGCGUUCGAUUCAUACGCUCUGCCACCCCAUUCUGUUGCGGUGUUCCACCUACGGUGAAGUGCCUUACUAUGCCACAAUCUUGGCAUAUCUUCAGGAAAGGAUCGCUUUUAUAUUCUCCACCGUUGUCUGAUCGGAGAACCUUAAUCUUCCUUCCUGUCUGAUUUUCAACUUUAGUUUUCCACUUAAGGAAAACUUCAAGCACCUCAUCUUUGUUCUUCAUAGGAAACACCCAAACUCGUCUGGAAAAAUCAUCAAUAAAGGUGACAAAAUAACGUCUUCCUCCAAGUGAUGGAGUCUUGGACGGUCCCCAUACAUCAGAAUGCAUAUAAUCCAGAAUACCUUUAGUAUUGUGAAUCCCAGUGCCAAAUUUCACCCUUCGUUGUUUUCCCAGAACACAAUGCUCGCAAAAUUUAAGUUUGCAAGUCUUUGUACCUUUCAAUAAUCCUUGCUUGGCUAGAGUUUGCAAGGAUUUUUCACCAGCAUGGCCCAAACGCAUAUGCCACAGCUGUGUUGCCUCAGGAUCCUUCUUGGUACUCGUAAUUGCUGCUGCUGUUGUCCCGACCACUGUACUACCUUGGUAGUAAUACAUAUUGUUCUUUCUUAUGCCUUUCAACAUCACCAAUGCUCCUGAAGUUGCUUUAAGAACUCCAUCUCGUAUUGUCACAACUAGGCCUUUAGCUUCUAACGACCCCAAAGAGAUGAGAUUCUUCUUCAACUUUGGGACAUAUCGUACAUCCCGCAAAAUUCUAGUAGAUCCAUCAUGACUCCUCAGUUUAAUUGAACCUAUCCCGGCUAUUUUACACGUGUUAUCAUUACCCAUGUAAACAACCCCUUCAUCUAGUUUUUGAAAUUCAAAGAACCAUUCCCGAAUGGGACACAUAUGAUAGGAACAACCAGAAUCCAUGAUCCACUCAUCUGCAUAUAAUGUUGAAGAUGUCAUACUAAGAGAAAAGUCUGACUCUGCUUCACUAUUGCAUUCUGCAACAUUUGCAUCUUGCGGAGUCUUCCAUUUUUUCUUCAAUUUUGGACAAUCUUUCUUCCAAUGUCCUUUUUCUUUGCAAAAAGAACAUUCAUCUUUGGCAACAGCUCGACCUUUGGACUUUCUUCUCUUCCCUUUAGACUGACUUUGCUGACGACCUCUUGUUACCAAUGCUUCCACUGCUGCUUCACCUGAACCUUUCAACUUAUCCUUUCGGCGUAGUUCAUAGCUAUACAAUGCAGCAGUUACUUCAUUGAAAGUUACUUCCGAUUUUCCAUGAAGUAGAGUAGUUUCAAGGUACUCAAACUCCUCAGGAAGCGAUCCCAACAACAUUAACGCCAAGUCUUCGUCUUCAAAAGUCACAUCCAAAUUCAACAAAUCAGCCACCAGCUGAUUAAAAUUGGUAAUGUGCUCAUUCAUCGUGGUACCAGGAACAUAACUGAAACGAAACAGUCUUUUCUUCAUAUGCAACUUAUUUUGACUGUUCUUCUUCAGGAAUUUCUCCUCCAAUACUUUCCACAAUUUACUUGCAGAAGUCUCUUUACUGAAUAUAUACUUCUGCUCUCUGGAAAGACAUGAUCGAAUUGUACCACAUGCCAAUCGGUUGAUGGUCUUCCAUUCUUUAUCAUCAACCCCUUCUGGUUUUUCUUCCUCAAUGGCAAUAUCUAGACCUUGUUGAAAGAGGGCAUCUAGAAGCUCACUUUGCCACAUGCCGAAAUGACCUGUUCCAUCAAAAAUUUCCACUGCAAAUCUCGUAUUUGCAGUUCCAACCCUCGGCAAAAUGUACGAAGUGGAAGUUGUUGAUAUGGAUGGUUUUUCUUCUGUCAUUUUUGCCAUAGCUUCUAUUUAAUAGCCACCAAAUGCGGAAUACCCACAAGCUUUAGGAAAUGUUUCUGAUGUGUAAGAUCAGACUAAGCUGCAAACACAGAGCAUACUACAAAACCUUGGCUCGGAUACCAAUUGUUGCGGAAGCGACGAUAAUAUUAAUAAAAAUAUUAUCAGAAAUAUUUAGAUAAUUAUUAUGCCAACAAUUAUACUAAGAAAAUUCCCAGUUAAAUUGGAGGGGUCACAAAUGGUCCCGCUUAAAACCCAACAACUAGACAGAACUCACUUAGAUAUUUAUAGCAAUAAUAACUAAAUAAAUAUAACCAACAUAAAGCUAUUAAAUAUAAGCAAACAAAUAAGAAAUAAAAUACCAGAGAUUUAACGAGGUUCGGCCAAUUUAGCUUACGUCCUCGGACACUACCAAAUUAAUAUUUCUUCUAGAAAUAUUACAAAGGAGAAGAUUUUGGGAUGAUACAACCAAAGGGGGAGGGGUUCUAUAUAUAACAAACCAAACCCCCUCUCUUUCUAUCUUUUCCUAAUGUGGGAUAUUGCCAAUAUUCAACAGUUUGAAUGAGUCGGAGGCAAUUAGCUUUUAUUCUAUGUUGAAAUACCUACCCCAUUAAACAAAUUAAUAUUUAAUUUAAAACUACCACAUCAUAUGGCCACGUUGCAAUUAAAAAUUGCCUGUUACUGUUACUUGAGUACAAUAAAAAUCGAUCAUUUGCAAAUCCUUUUUCCAUAAUUUCCCUUCCCCAUGGAGAAUUCAAACUUUUUCGCCAUUGAGAAAGAAUUAAAGCUCGAUGAAGGGUACCAAAAGACAUACAAAAACGUCGAUGAACUGCUGCCCACUCUCCUUCGAAGUAAAGGCUGGUGGUUAGACCAGCUUCUUCAAUACCAAGGGUUCUGGUUAUCAACUUACGGCAUUCGAGGAUGCAUGUUGAUCGAUGACCACUUCAACCCUCGUCCCACUGACAUCAUCGUCGCAACAUCACCUAAAUGCGGCACCACGUGGCUUCGGGCCCUCGUUUUCUCUAUUAUCAACAGGAAUUCUUUUGAUUUCAGCGACCAUCCUUUGCGCAAGGCAAACCCUCGAGACUUGGUCCACUUUCUCGAAGCACAUAUUCGUGGAGAUGGGUCAACUGCUUCCAUUGAUGGGCUUCCUUCACCUCGGCUUCUCUCAACUCACCUUCCUUACUCUUUGUUUCCGGAAUGCAUGACCGAUGAUACCUCGGCUUGCCGUUUCGUUUAUAUCUGCCGAGACCCCAAGGAUGUUUUAGUCUCAAAGUGGCAUUUCGCUAACAAGUUGAGACCAAAAGGAGUGCCACCACUUUCACUAGAGGAAGCCUUUGACUUGUUUUGCAAAGGGGUA
This 31776-nucleotide long non-coding RNA is filed under the name Gossypium barbadense (sea-island cotton). RNAcentral describes it as "long non-coding RNA (GBAR_LNC014698)". Lineage: Eukaryota; Viridiplantae; Streptophyta; Magnoliopsida; Malvales; Malvaceae. The record is from RNAcentral.